This 465-nucleotide ribosomal RNA is filed under the name Vreelandella stevensii. RNAcentral's name for it is "partial 16S ribosomal RNA". It matches the Rfam family "Bacterial small subunit ribosomal RNA", at positions 338 to 795 of the family's 1533-position model. The record is from RNAcentral. Lineage: Bacteria; Pseudomonadati; Pseudomonadota; Gammaproteobacteria; Oceanospirillales; Halomonadaceae.
CCUACGGGAGGCAGCAGUGGGGAAUAUUGGACAAUGGGGGGAACCCUGAUCCAGCCAUGCCGCGUGUGUGAAGAAGGCCCUCGGGUUGUAAAGCACUUUCAGUGAGGAAGAACGCCUGGUGGUUAAUACCCAUCAGGAAAGACAUCACUCACAGAAGAAGCACCGGCUAACUCCGUGCCAGCAGCCGCGGUAAUACGGAGGGUGCGAGCGUUAAUCGGAAUUACUGGGCGUAAAGCGCGCGUAGGUGGCUUGAUAAGCCGGUUGUGAAAGCCCCGGGCUCAACCUGGGAACGGCAUCCGGAACUGUCAAGCUAGAGUGCAGGAGAGGAAGGUAGAAUUCCCGGUGUAGCGGUGAAAUGCGUAGAGAUCGGGAGGAAUACCAGUGGCGAAGGCGGCCUUCUGGACUGACACUGACACUGAGGUGCGAAAGCGUGGGUAGCAAACAGGAUUAUAUACCCCGGGAGUC